Molecule: ribosomal RNA, 253 nt
Filed under: uncultured bacterium
Lineage: Bacteria
Description: partial 16S ribosomal RNA
Rfam family: Bacterial small subunit ribosomal RNA
Source: RNAcentral
UACGAAGGUCCCAAGCGUUAUCCGGAUUUAUUGGGUUUAAAGGGUGCGUAGGCGGGUUAUUAAGUCAGUGGUGAAAGCCUUCAGCUUAACUGAAGAAUUGCCAUUGAUACUGACGGGCUUGAGUACAGACGAGGUUGGCGGAAUUGAUUGUGUAGCGGUGAAAUGCAUAGAUACAAUCAAGAACUCCGAUUGCGUAGGCAGCUAACUAGGCUGUAACUGACGCUGAGGCACGAAAGCGUGGGGAGCGAACAGG